RNAcentral lists this ribosomal RNA (226 nucleotides) under uncultured bacterium. Its description in RNAcentral is "partial 16S ribosomal RNA". It matches the Rfam family "Bacterial small subunit ribosomal RNA", at positions 109 to 334 of the family's 1533-position model. The record is from RNAcentral.
CGGAACACGUACAGAACCUUCCUUUAAGCGGGGGAUAGCCCAUAGAAAUGUGGAUUAAUACCCCAUAGCAAUAUUUAAUGGCAUCAUUAGAUAUUUAAAGAUUUAUCACUUAAAGAUGGCUGUGCGGCUGAUUAGGUAGUUGGUGCGGGUAACGGCCCACCAAGCCAUCGAUCAGUAACUGGUGUGAGAGCACGACCAGUCACACGGGCACUGAGACACGGGCCCG